RNAcentral lists this non-coding RNA (76 nucleotides) under Saccharopolyspora spinosa. Lineage: Bacteria; Bacillati; Actinomycetota; Actinomycetes; Pseudonocardiales; Pseudonocardiaceae. The record is from RNAcentral.
GAGCGCCGGAUGCGUGGAGACAUGCACGUCCGGUGCGGCGGGCGGGCCGGGGAAACGGACCGGGAGCAAUCCCGGC